AGUGAACGCUGGCGGCAGGCCUAACACAUGCAAGUCGAACGGUAACAGAAAGCAGCCUGCUGCUUUGCUGACGCGAGGCGGGCGGGUGAGAAAUGUCCGGGAGACUGCCCGUUGGAGGGGGGGAACUACUAGGAACGGUAACGAAAACACCACAUACUCCCUACACCAAAGAGGGGGAGAUUUUGGCCCCUUGCGAUAGGAAAUGACCCGAUGGGGGAUUAGCUAGUGGGCGGGGUAGAGGCCCCCCAAGGCGACGAUCCGUAGCUGGUCUGAGAGGAUGAUCAGCCACACUGGAACUGAGACACGGUCCAGACUCCUACGGGAGGCAGCAGUGGGGAAUAUUGGACAAUGGGCGCAAGCCUGAUGCAGCCAUACCGCGUGUAUGAAGAAGGCCUUCGGGUUGUAAAGUCCUUUUGGUGGGAAAGAAGGGCGUCAGGUUAAUACCUCGCCUUACUGACGGUACCCGAAGAAUAAGCACCGGCUAACUUCGUG
RNAcentral lists this ribosomal RNA (492 nucleotides) under uncultured bacterium. RNAcentral's name for it is "partial 16S ribosomal RNA". It matches the Rfam family "Bacterial small subunit ribosomal RNA", at positions 29 to 507 of the family's 1533-position model. The record is from RNAcentral.